AGCAUAAAAAAUUCUAUGUUACGGCCAUAGAGGAGAUAAGCAAUUUUAUCUUAUGUUU
This 58-nucleotide transfer RNA is filed under the name Rhinebothroides sp. MZUSP 8027. RNAcentral describes it as "tRNA-Arg". Lineage: Eukaryota; Metazoa; Platyhelminthes; Cestoda; Rhinebothriidea; Rhinebothriidae. The record is from RNAcentral. RNAcentral also lists the same sequence under 2 other names.